RNAcentral lists this ribosomal RNA (253 nucleotides) under uncultured bacterium. RNAcentral describes it as "partial 16S ribosomal RNA". It matches the Rfam family "Bacterial small subunit ribosomal RNA", at positions 524 to 776 of the family's 1533-position model. The record is from RNAcentral.
UACAGAGGUCCCAAGCGUUGUUCGGAUUCAUUGGGCGUAAAGGGUGCGUAGGUGGCGUCGUAAGUCGGGUGUGAAAUCUCGGGGCUUAACUCCGAAACUGCAUUCGAUACUGCGGUGCUUGAGGACUGGAGAGGAGACUGGAAUUUACGGUGUAGCAGUGAAAUGCGUAGAGAUCGUAAGGAAGACCAGUGGCGAAGGCGGGUCUCUGGACAGUUCCCGACACUGAGGCACGAAGGCCAGGGGAGCAAACGGG